Long non-coding RNA from Acinonyx jubatus (cheetah), 662 nucleotides. RefSeq lists it as uncharacterized. NCBI's taxonomy places the organism in Eukaryota, Metazoa, Chordata, Mammalia, Carnivora, Felidae. The transcript has 4 exons. The record is from RefSeq and is a predicted model, not a curated record.
GGGGUUAGUAACUGACAGCUCGGCCUCGAAACGAGAAGACUCAAGUAGGUCAGGCUGUGUCAACGGUUUGAAAUCCAGGGUCCACCCCAGUGGGCUUAAGGGAGUAGAGCAGCAGGAGGAGAUCGGCAGCGUAGCCCCACGCACCCCAUGUCCCAUUUACUUGUGACAAUGGAUCAUUAGACCCAGGGGCUCGAAACCCCCAACAGAGAACAAAACAGAGCGGAAGUAGGACGGAAGAACUGAUCCACCUCACCAGAAAAGGAGGAGCCUUGAGAGUAGACAGCAAAAGGCAGCCCAUGGACAAAUACUUGAGGCGGGCACAGUGGAACAUUUCUCUAGAAGCCUCCUACCGUCUUAAUGUGCAUGCUUUGCUAGAGGGAGAAACAAUCUUAACCUGACAAUAGCAAGGCCUCCGGGAUCCUAGCAGAUGAAAAUACCUUUGGAAACUUCCCCUUGCCUUUACCUCCCCCAACUCCCAAGUAUAUAAUCAGUCACUCCUCACAAUCCCAGGGUAGCUCUUUCUGUCCACGGGCCCUGUCCCCAUGCUUUAAUAAAAUCACUUUUUUGCACCAAAGACAUCUCAAGAGUUCUUUCGUGGCCGUCAGCUCUGAACCCCCACCACCACUCCAAAACCACAUCAGUAGUAGCAAAAAAAAAAAAAA